Molecule: transfer RNA, 71 nt
Filed under: Caranx melampygus (bluefin trevally)
Lineage: Eukaryota; Metazoa; Chordata; Actinopteri; Carangiformes; Carangidae
Also listed under: 3 other names
Description: tRNA-Trp
Rfam family: tRNA
About the family: Transfer RNA (tRNA) molecules are approximately 80 nucleotides in length.
Source: RNAcentral
AGAGACUUAGGUUAGCACCAGACCAAGGGCCUUCAAAGCCCUAAGCGAGAGUGAAAAUCUCCCAGUCCCUG